Long non-coding RNA from Artibeus jamaicensis (Jamaican fruit-eating bat), 1140 nucleotides. RefSeq lists it as uncharacterized. The record is from RefSeq and is a predicted model, not a curated record. NCBI's taxonomy places the organism in Eukaryota, Metazoa, Chordata, Mammalia, Chiroptera, Phyllostomidae. The transcript has 4 exons.
CAGUGUGCUGGGGCUGCCCAACACUAGGCCACCGGCUGGGCAGCCUAACCAAGGGAAACGUCUUUUCACACAGUCCUGCCGGCUGGAAGUUCAAGGCCAAGGUGCAUUAAGAAGCAGACCCUGAGACGAAGUUUCAAGUGCAAGUCAUUUGUCUGGGAGAGGACUCCAGGCAGCCUGUGGGGCACAGACCUGUGGGACCAGGAAGCAGCCGAAGCCAGCACAGCACAUGAGCAUGAGCAAGUUCAUGGCUAUGGGAACUGGAGCAGGGGACUCGGGCAGCUCGGAAUGUGCCGCGCCGAGUUCUCCCACCCAGGGGAGCGAGCUGGAGUUGGAGGGACAGUGAAGACAGACACCUUGAGAACACCAACAGACCUACGAACUUGCUCCUUCUCUCUGGCCUGUUCUGGAAGCAUCUGUCUACAACAGCACAUCCCGAACUGCGGUCCUUGUUUUGCACGUGUGAGCACCGCCCUCACCAUUUGUUCACGUGCCUGUGCUUCCUGCACUGGAUCAAUGAAUUGCCAUUUUCUUUAAAAAGCGUGUUGUCACGUGCCACGGAUCUCCACGCCCUGACAGGCUCACAUGGACCAGACCCAGGGAACUUAGCGGUUUCUGACUUGGUUUAAAGGAGAGCGAACAUACAGAAGCACCACGUCCUUCCCAGCGGCCCUAUGUGGGAGCAGCGUUUUCCGCCCCCUCUUCCCCCCCACCCCCACCCUGGAGACUGAGCCAGACCGGCCUGACCCUGGACCCCAAGCCUCUGGGUUGACUGGUCACAGGCUCUUUCCUCCACCCAUGGUCUGCAGCCCCCGGCACCCUCCCAGCCCCACUUGCCAGAAGGGCCGCCCUCUACCACCCUCGCUGGUACAGAGGAGAAGCUGUGGCACCUCCCGGCCUUUCCUGCAUGCACAUGGGCAGUAACGGCGGGAUGCUGCUAAGGGUGGCGCUGGGUAAGGGGCCCGAAGGUCAGGCCCGAAUGUCUGGCUGUCCAGGUUUCUCUGCAGUGAGACCUGAUACAAGUGAGGUUGCCUCUUUUUGGGUCUUGGACAGGUGUUCUCACCUGUAAAAUGAGACACUGUUUUUAUCUUUUAUGUAGAGGAGGAGAUGAUGUCUUUAAAAAAAUUUUUAAGCCAAUUAUAA